Molecule: ribosomal RNA, 760 nt
Filed under: Flectobacillus sp. SG59
Lineage: Bacteria; Pseudomonadati; Bacteroidota; Cytophagia; Cytophagales; Flectobacillaceae
Description: bacterial SSU rRNA
Rfam family: Bacterial small subunit ribosomal RNA
Source: RNAcentral
GCGCACGGGUGCGUAACACGUAUGCAACCUACCUAUCAUUGGGGGAUAGCCUUUGGAAACGGAGAUUAAUACCGCAUAAGACAGUAACAUGGCAUCAUGUAGCUGUUAAAGCUUCGGCGAUGAUAGAUGGGCAUGCGUCCAAUUAGUUAGUUGGUGAGGUAAUGGCUCACCAAGACGAUGAUUGGUAGGGGAUCUGAGAGGAUAAUCCCCCACACUGGCACUGAGAUACGGGCCAGACUCCUACGGGAGGCAGCAGUAGGGAAUAUUGGGCAAUGGACGGAAGUCUGACCCAGCCAUGCCGCGUGCAGGAUGAAGGCGUUAUGCGUUGUAAACUGCUUUUUUAUAGGAAGAAGGAGACCUUGCGAGGUUUGGUGACGGUACUAUAAGAAUAAGCACCGGCUAACUCCGUGCCAGCAGCCGCGGUAAUACGGAGGGUGCGAGCGUUGUCCGGAUUUAUUGGGUUUAAAGGGUGCGUAGGCGGUUUAUUAAGUCAGUGGUGAAAGACGGUCGCUCAACGAUUGCAGUGCCAUUGAUACUGGUAGACUUGAGUUCGUAUGAGGUAGCUGGAAUGGAUAGUGUAGCGGUGAAAUGCAUAGAUAUUAUCCAGAACUCCAAUUGCGUAGGCCGGUUACUAGUACGAUACUGACGCUUAUGCGCGAAAGUGUGGGGAUCAAACAGGAUUAGAUACCCUGGUAGUCCACACUGUAAACGAUGAUGACUAACUGUCUGCCCCUUUGGGGUGAGUGGGACACACAAAUCG